GCCCGAUCCGAUCGCACUGCAUCGGUCACUCGACGAGAUCGCGGGCGAGGGCGUGACCCAUCUGGCGUUCGAGGCGUCGUCGCAUGGCCUCGACCAGCAUCGCCUCGACGGAGUGCGCGUCAAUGCCGGCGGAUUCACCAACCUGUCGCGCGACCACAUGGAUUAUCAUCCGACCAUUGAGCACUAUCUCGCAGCGAAGCUGCGGCUGGUCA
Molecule: unclassified non-coding RNA, 212 nt
Filed under: Hevea brasiliensis (rubber tree)
Lineage: Eukaryota; Viridiplantae; Streptophyta; Magnoliopsida; Malpighiales; Euphorbiaceae
Source: RNAcentral